This 947-nucleotide ribosomal RNA is filed under the name Enterococcus durans. RNAcentral describes it as "partial 16S ribosomal RNA". It matches the Rfam family "Bacterial small subunit ribosomal RNA". RNAcentral also lists the same sequence under 1 other name. Lineage: Bacteria; Bacillati; Bacillota; Bacilli; Lactobacillales; Enterococcaceae. The record is from RNAcentral.
AAUUCUUUACCUUGGAUACCCCCCCCCCCCUUAUAGAGUUGGGAUCCUGCUCAGGACGAACGCUGGCGGCGUGCCUAAUACAUGCAAGUCGUACGCUUCUUUUUCCACCGGAGCUUGCUCCACCGGAAAAAGAAGAGUGGCGAACGGGUGAGUAACACGUGGGUAACCUGCCCAUCAGAAGGGGAUAACACUUGGAAACAGGUGCUAAUACCGUAUAACAAUCGAAACCGCAUGGUUUUGAUUUGAAAGGCGCUUUCGGGUGUCGCUGAUGGAUGGACCCGCGGUGCAUUAGCUAGUUGGUGAGGUAACGGCUCACCAAGGCCACGAUGCAUAGCCGACCUGAGAGGGUGAUCGGCCACAUUGGGACUGAGACACGGCCCAAACUCCUACGGGAGGCAGCAGUAGGGAAUCUUCGGCAAUGGACGAAAGUCUGACCGAGCAACGCCGCGUGAGUGAAGAAGGUUUUCGGAUCGUAAAACUCUGUUGUUAGAGAAGAACAAGGAUGAGAGUAACUGUUCAUCCCUUGACGGUAUCUAACCAGAAAGCCACGGCUAACUACGUGCCAGCAGCCGCGGUAAUACGUAGGUGGCAAGCGUUGUCCGGAUUUAUUGGGCGUAAAGCGAGCGCAGGCGGUUUCUUAAGUCUGAUGUGAAAGCCCCCGGCUCAACCGGGGAGGGUCAUUGGAAACUGGGAGACUUGAGUGCAGAAGAGGAGAGUGGAAUUCCAUGUGUAGCGGUGAAAUGCGUAGAUAUAUGGAGGAACACCAGUGGCGAAGGCGGCUCUCUGGUCUGUAACUGACGCUGAGGCUCGAAAGCGUGGGGAGCAAACAGGAUUAGAUACCCUGGUAGUCCACGCCGUAAACGAUGAGUGCUAAGUGUUGGAGGGUUUCCGCCCUUCAGUGCUGCAGCUAACGCAUAAGCACUCCGCCUGGGAGACACCAACUUUGG